Molecule: ribosomal RNA, 249 nt
Filed under: uncultured bacterium
Lineage: Bacteria
Description: partial 16S ribosomal RNA
Rfam family: Bacterial small subunit ribosomal RNA
Source: RNAcentral
UACGUAGGGGCAAGCGUUGUCCGGAUUUAUUGGGCGUAAAGAGCGUGUAGGCGGCCAGGUAGGUCCGUUGUGAAAACUCGAGGCUCAACCUCGAGACGCCGAUGGAAACCAUCUGGCUAGAGUCCGGAAGAGGAGAGUGGAAUUCCCGGUGUAGCGGUGAAAUGGCGCAGAUAUCGGAAGAACACCCGCGGCUAAGGCGGCUCUCUAGUACGGUACUGACGCUGAGACGCGAAAGCGUGGGAGCGAACG